UUUUAGCUCCGAUUAAACGGCAUGUUUGAGCUCUUUUCAUUGGUUUUAUCGCGGCGGCUUCGCCGCCGCGAUAAAACCAAUGAAAAAGCGAGUAGUGAAAGCGGGAAAUAGC
This 112-nucleotide unclassified non-coding RNA is filed under the name Chryseobacterium formosense. Its description in RNAcentral is "Flavo-1 RNA". The record is from RNAcentral. Lineage: Bacteria; Pseudomonadati; Bacteroidota; Flavobacteriia; Flavobacteriales; Weeksellaceae.